This 70-nucleotide transfer RNA is filed under the name Barilius bendelisis (Hamilton's barila). RNAcentral describes it as "tRNA-Asp". It matches the Rfam family "tRNA". From Rfam's summary of the family: Transfer RNA (tRNA) molecules are approximately 80 nucleotides in length. Their secondary structure includes four short double-helical elements and three loops (D, anti-codon, and T loops). The record is from RNAcentral. Lineage: Eukaryota; Metazoa; Chordata; Actinopteri; Cypriniformes; Danionidae.
AAGACAUUAGUAAAGUAAAUUACACCACCUUGUCAAGGUGGAAUCGUAGGUUGAACCCCUGCAUGUUUUA